This 232-nucleotide small RNA is filed under the name Drosophila pseudoobscura pseudoobscura. RNAcentral's name for it is "GA31304". Lineage: Eukaryota; Metazoa; Arthropoda; Insecta; Diptera; Drosophilidae. The record is from RNAcentral.
CUCACAGGCAAGUAUGGCAUGACGGAUUUUUUGGCCAGGAGUUGCCCGGCUAACCUUGGAGCUGGAGUGUGUUGCUGCGCAGACCAUGAUAAUGCAUCAGCCAGAAGCCGCUCCAUACUUUCGUUGGCCUGUCUUGGACUCAGGGCAGAUACGAGGUAUACUGCGUCAUCAGCGUACGUUGCUAGCAUUUGGGUUGCGUUUGCGUGUCUUGGUGGCUGCGGCAUGUCAGCAG